GGGUCAAUGGUGAAGUGGCGAUCAUGCUCCAUUAGGGAUUUUACUACUGUUCUUGUAACUGUGUGAAAUCUGAAUUUGGUGUGGUCCCGGGUUCGAUUCCCGGUUGACCCC
Molecule: non-coding RNA, 111 nt
Organism: Candida albicans SC5314
Lineage: Eukaryota; Fungi; Ascomycota; Pichiomycetes; Serinales; Debaryomycetaceae
Source: Rfam